RNA transcript from Rosa rugosa (rugosa rose), 1385 nucleotides. RefSeq lists it as uncharacterized. The transcript has 3 exons. The record is from RefSeq and is a predicted model, not a curated record. NCBI's taxonomy places the organism in Eukaryota, Viridiplantae, Streptophyta, Magnoliopsida, Rosales, Rosaceae.
AUGCUCAUUUUCGGGUCCAAAAUACAAGUACGAUUAAUAAAUGUGCCCCGCUGGCCUGGACCUCCUCCUCAGCUGAGGUUCGAUAUCGCCGCCACCGCAGCUGACCUGAGGUCGAGCUUUUGUUUUUUGUUUGUUGGUAAAGAUGGAGACUUUUUGGUUCUCUGAUUGUUAUUGUUUUUUCUUCUUCUCAAAUUCUGGGUAAUUUUAGAUGGGUUCAGAUGUAAACAGGCACAAGGUCUGCUUCAAUGUGCAAUUUCAAGCCGGUUGUAUAGAUCUCUUCCAACUUGGCAAUUCCCAGAAUAAGGAAAGGUAAACUUCUCAUUUCCCAGAUACAUAGGGCAACUGGUUGAGAAUUGGUUUGGGAGCGUAAUGUUAUUUCAGACCAAAAAAUUAUACUUUAGAGACUAGUCUGUUGUACAAGCAUAUCCGCAGAUAGGCAUAUUUUUCAUAGCACAGUGUCGCAAGUAGAUACAGGACAACCGGUACCAAUAUUGGAGGAGGGAGAAGGGACUCUGGUCAUACUACGUCUUUUCAAACAAAGCCGCUUUUGGUAUGAUAAUCCACGAGACUUCACACAGGAUGGCGAACCAACCCUCGUAGAUGAAGAGAUACUUCUUGUCCAACGUGGCCCAGCCAAGUUUAUUGCUGAGCGUCUUUUGCGUAUGGGUGUCCCACCAGAAGAACAUGAAGCUAUUCUUCUGAAAUUUCUUCAGAAGUAUCUUGUAGAUAUUGACGACAUCACCCAUUAUGUCCUAUAUACUGUGAAUAUAUUGGACAUCAGUGUGUCCUUGUUGGGUAGUGCUGACUAUCAUGAGAUCGUUGAUUGGGCGGCAGAAGAAAACAUCGUAUUUGAGGACCAUUGGGGUACAAAUAAGCUCAAAUUUAUUCCUGCAAGUAGAUCUUGGAUCAAGAGUUUGAAGAAAAUAAAACUUGAUACUUUGGAAGUAGAUCUUGGAUCAUGUGCUAUUUGUCUCGACGACGUUGCAAAAUGUGAUGAUCAACUGGUUACUACCUUACCCUGUAAACACCAUAUCAUGUAGAUUGCAUUGUCCAGUCCCUGGAGAUCAGUCACCUUUGCCCCUUGUCCCGAUACCCAAUGCCAACUGUGGAAGCGGAUGAGCAAUAAACAGUCUAGGGGCUUAACUGGAUCAACCACUAAGGAUGAUUCGGCUAUGGAGUGUAUUUUAGUCAUUUAUUGUUUUACCAGAAAAAAAAAAAUGAAAGGGAGAGUUAAUCCUCCCGACUGUAUUUUAUAGCAGUUCCUUUGUUUACCAGAAAGAAUCCAUCAGACUGUAUCUUAUUUUGACUUUGGCUGAAGGAUUUUGAUUGUUUCUUUGAAGGUUAAUCCUUCUGAUUUGAGGAAAGAGUUUCUGUUUAUUGUGGUA